This 205-nucleotide long non-coding RNA is filed under the name Solanum tuberosum (potato). RNAcentral's name for it is "long non-coding RNA (STUB_LNC009227)". Lineage: Eukaryota; Viridiplantae; Streptophyta; Magnoliopsida; Solanales; Solanaceae. The record is from RNAcentral.
UGAUACUUCACCAUACAAUACAACCAUGGCUGACUUAUUGCCGGAAUGUCUCUUUCAAAAAAUACUCUGUUUGAUUAGUUUUAAAGAAGCAUCCAAGAUGAACAUUCUCUCGAAAACAUGGCUGCAAGCGUGGUCGACUCUUCCUAACUUGGGAUUCUUUGUUAAUAGUUGGCAAGGCUGGGAAGCCCAUAUAAAUAUAGCGGAC